AGAGUUUGAUCCUGGCUCAGGAUGAACGCUGGCGGCGUGCUAACACAUGCAAGUCGAACGAAGCACUACCGACGGAACUUUUCAGAGGGAAGAUGGUAAUGACUGAGUGGCGGACGGGUGAGUAACGCGUGGGCAACCUGCCCCAUAGAGGGGGACAACAGCUGGAAACGGCUGCUAAUACCGCAUAACAAGGAGAGAGCGCAUGUUCUUUUCUUCAAAGAUUUAUCGCUAUGGGAUGGACCCGCGUCUGAUUAGCUGGUUGGUGAGGUAACGGCUCACCAAGGCGACGAUCAGUAGCCGGCUUGAGAGAGUGGACGGCCACAUUGGGACUGAGACACGGCCCAGACUCCUACGGGAGGCAGCAGUGGGGAAUAUUGCACAAUGGGGGAAACCCUGAUGCAGCGACGCCGCGUGAGUGAAGAAGUAUUUCGGUAUGUAAAGCUCUAUCAGCAGGGAAGAUAAUGACGGUACCUGACUAAGAAGCCCCGGCUAACUACGUGCCAGCAGCCGCGGUAAUACGUAGGGGGCAAGCGUUAUCCGGAUUUACUGGGUGUAAAGGGAGCGUAGGUGGCAGGGCAAGUCAGAUGUGAAAACCCGGGGCUCAACCCCGGGAGUGCAUUUGAAACUGUCCAGCUGGAGUGCAGGAGAGGUAAGCGGAAUUCCUAGUGUAGCGGUGAAAUGCAUAGAUAUUAGGAGGAACACCAGUGGCGAAGGCGGCUUACUGGACUGUAACUGACACUGAGGCUCGAAAGCGUGGGGAGCAAACAAAAUUAGAUACCCUGGUAGUCCACGCCGUAAAC
This 800-nucleotide ribosomal RNA is filed under the name uncultured bacterium. RNAcentral describes it as "bacterial SSU rRNA". It matches the Rfam family "Bacterial small subunit ribosomal RNA", at positions 8 to 807 of the family's 1533-position model. The record is from RNAcentral.